RNAcentral lists this ribosomal RNA (377 nucleotides) under uncultured eukaryote. RNAcentral describes it as "SSU rRNA". It matches the Rfam family "Eukaryotic small subunit ribosomal RNA", at positions 587 to 972 of the family's 1831-position model. The record is from RNAcentral.
AGCUCCAAUAGCGUAUAUUAAUAUUGUUGCAGCUGAAAAGCUCGUAGUUGGAUUUCUGCUUGGCGCGGCAGGUCUGCCUUUGGGUGUGUACUUGUCGCGUUGAGCAUUCAUGCCUUCUUGGCCACUGCACUUAAGUGUGUGGGGUUGAGGGGCAGCUUCCACGUGGAGAAAAUUAGAGUGUUCCAAGCAGGCGUUAGCCCUGAAUACCACAGCCUCGUAUGGAAUGAUAAGUCGUGGAUCGCGUCUUAUCGGUUCUCGGGAUCUACGGAAUGAUUAAUAGGGAUAGUUGGGGGCAUUCGUAUUUAACUGUCAGAGGUGAAAUUCUUGGAUUUGUUAAAGACGAACUACUGCGAAAGCAUUUGCCAAGGAUGUUUUCA